RNAcentral lists this non-coding RNA (121 nucleotides) under Nesterenkonia sp. RNAcentral's name for it is "SAM-I sequence". It matches the Rfam family "SAM riboswitch aptamer (S box leader)". Rfam says of the family: The SAM riboswitch is found upstream of a number of genes which code for proteins involved in methionine or cysteine biosynthesis in Gram-positive bacteria. The SAM riboswitch acts at the level of transcription termination control. The predicted structure consists of a complex stem-loop region followed by a single stem loop terminator region. Lineage: Bacteria; Bacillati; Actinomycetota; Actinomycetes; Micrococcales; Micrococcaceae. The record is from RNAcentral.
ACACCAUCCCGAGCGGCUGAGAGAUCUGGCUCUGUGACGCCGCAGCAACCUUCGGAUGCGUCGAUCGGCCUCUCUGUGCCCGUCGCAUCAGAAAAGGUGCUACCGCCAGGAUCGAUGGGAG